Molecule: ribosomal RNA, 549 nt
Filed under: uncultured bacterium
Lineage: Bacteria
Description: partial 16S ribosomal RNA
Rfam family: Bacterial small subunit ribosomal RNA
Source: RNAcentral
UGGGGAAUUUUGGACAAUGGGCGAAAGCCUGAUCCAGCAAUGCCGCGUGUGUGAAGAAGGCCUUCGGGUUGUAAAGCACUUUUGUCCGGAAAGAAAUCCUUGGCUCUAAUACAGUCGGGGGAUGACGGUACCGGAAGAAUAAGCACCGGCUAACUACGUGCCAGCAGCCGCGGUAAUACGUAGGGUGCAAGCGUUAAUCGGAAUUACUGGGCGUAAAGCGUGCGCAGGCGGUUUGCUAAGACCGAUGUGAAAUCCCCGGGCUCAACCUGGGAACUGCAUUGGUGACUGGCAGGCUAGAGUAUGGCAGAGGGGGGUAGAAUUCCACGUGUAGCAGUGAAAUGCGUAGAGAUGUGGAGGAAUACCGAUGGCGAAGGCAGCCCCCUGGGCCAAUACUGACGCUCAUGCACGAAAGCGUGGGGAGCAAACAGGAUUCAGAUACCCUGGUAGUCCACGCCCUAAACGAUGUCAACUAGUUGUUGGGGAUUCAUUUCCUUAGUAACGUAGCUAACGCGUGAAGUUGACCGCCUGGGGAGUACGGUCGCAAGAUUC